This 357-nucleotide ribosomal RNA is filed under the name uncultured bacterium. RNAcentral describes it as "partial 16S ribosomal RNA". It matches the Rfam family "Bacterial small subunit ribosomal RNA", at positions 338 to 692 of the family's 1533-position model. The record is from RNAcentral.
CCUACGGGAGGCAGCAGUGAGGAAUAUUGGUCAAUGGACGAAAGUCUGAACCAGCCAUGCCGCGUGCAGGAAGACGGCUCUAUGAGUUGUAAACUGCUUUUGUACGAGGGUAAACGGAGAUACGCGUAUGUGUCUGAAAGUACCGUACGAAUAAGGAUCGGCUAACUCCGUGCCAGCAGCCGCGGUAAUACGGAGGAUUCGAGCGUUAUCCGGAUUUAUUGGGUUUAAAGGGUGCGUAGGCGGGCUGUUAAGUUAGAGGUGAAAGCCCGCGGCUCAACUUCGGAAUUGCACCUGAUACUGUUCGGCUUGAGCGUAGUUGCGGUAGGCGGAAUGUUUGGUGUAGCGGUGACAUGCUUA